AGCUUUCCGAAUCCGUGCUGAGAUUUCAUCAGAUACCAACCAAUUAGGGCUGAUUAGACUUCCAAGAUAAGUGAAGUU
Molecule: microRNA precursor, 78 nt
Filed under: Schistosoma curassoni
Lineage: Eukaryota; Metazoa; Platyhelminthes; Trematoda; Strigeidida; Schistosomatidae
Description: mir-3492 microRNA precursor family
Rfam family: mir-3492 microRNA precursor family
Source: Rfam by way of RNAcentral